This 446-nucleotide ribosomal RNA is filed under the name uncultured bacterium. RNAcentral describes it as "partial 16S ribosomal RNA". It matches the Rfam family "Bacterial small subunit ribosomal RNA", at positions 338 to 795 of the family's 1533-position model. The record is from RNAcentral.
CCUACGGGUGGCAGCAGUCGAGAAUCAUUCACAAUGGGGGAAACCCUGAUGGUGCGACGCCGCGUGGGGGAAUGAAGGUCUUCGGAUUGUAAACCCCUGUCAUGUGGGAGCAAAUUAAAAAGAUAGUACCACAAGAGGAAGAGACGGCUAACUCUGUGCCAGCAGCCGCGGUAAUACAGAGGUCUCAAGCGUUGUUCGGAAUCACUGGGCGUAAAGUGUGCGUAGGCUGUUUCGUAAGUCGUGUGUGAAAGGCGCGGGCUCAACCCGCGGACGGCACAUGAUACUGCGAGACUAGAGUAAUGGAGGGGGAACCGGAAUUCUCGGUGUAGCAGUGAAAUGCGUAGAUAUCGAGAGGAACACUCGUGGCGAAGGCGGGUGCCUGGACAUUAACUGACGCUGAGGCACGAAGGCCAGGGGAGCGAAAGGGAUUAGAUACCCCUGUAGUC